Molecule: long non-coding RNA, 454 nt
Organism: Hippocampus zosterae (dwarf seahorse)
Lineage: Eukaryota; Metazoa; Chordata; Actinopteri; Syngnathiformes; Syngnathidae
Exons: 2
Source: RefSeq, a predicted model, not a curated record
CAAAAAAAAAAAAAGAGAAAAUUAGGGUUUAAAUUAUUAUUUCGAGGCAAGGUUAGGGUUUUCGAUUCGGUUCUCAAGACGGGUUUGGGGUUUCCAAAAAGGGUUAAGAUUGAGUUCCGAGUGGGGUUUCAAAUUAGGAUUCAGAGGUUCAGUUUGGCAUUCAAACAAGGUUUAGAGUUCCACGAGUAGGGUUUCAAACAAGGGUUCGGUUUUUUUUAUUUGUUUUAAUCAAAGUAAUAUUUGAAGCCAGGGUUAAGGUUUCAAAUUAAGGUUCCAAGCCUCGAGCCAAAAUGAGAUUUUGAAGCCAAGGUAAGAAUUUGAACCCUGUGUUCAAUGCAGGGAUCCAGUUUUGUAUUUGAAAAAGAAAAAAAAAACCGGUCUAAAUUCCGGUUUAGGGUUUCAAACAAAGGUUAGCGUUGAAAUUUAUGAUUUGAAGCGAUUGGUAUGAUUUAAA